This 451-nucleotide ribosomal RNA is filed under the name uncultured soil bacterium. Its description in RNAcentral is "bacterial SSU rRNA". It matches the Rfam family "Bacterial small subunit ribosomal RNA", at positions 26 to 483 of the family's 1533-position model. The record is from RNAcentral.
AGAUUGAACGCUGGCGGCAUGCCUAACACAUGCAAGUCGAGCGGGAGUAGCAAUACUCUAGUGGCGGACGGGUGAGGAAUACGUAGGAAUUUGCCCUUAAGUGGGGGAUAACCCGGGGAAACCCGGAUUAAUACCGCAUGACCUCGAAAGAGCAAAGUGGGGGAUCGCAAGACCUCACGCUUUUUGGAGAAGCCUACGUCGGAUUAGCUAGUUGGUGAGGUAUGGCUCACCAAGGCGACGAUCCGUAACUGGUCUGAGAGGAUGAUCAGUCACACCGGAACUGAGACACGGUCCGGACUCCUACGGGAGGCAGCAGUGGGGAACUAUUGGACAUGGGCGCAAGCCUGACUCCAGCAAUGCCGCGUGUGUCGGAAGAACGGCCGUUCGGGUUGUAAACGGCUAACGUUUAAGUUAGGGAAACGUAAAAAACGUUCGACUUACCGUAACUAAC